UACGUAGGUGGCGAGCGUUACUCGGAAUCACUGGGCAUAAAGGGCGUGUAGGCGGAUGCGUAAGUCCGGUGUAAAAGCCCCCGGCUCAACCGGGGAAGGCCAUUGGAUACUGCGUGUCUUGAGUGCGGGAGGGGAGAGUGGAACUCUUGGUGGAGCGGUGAAAUGCGUAGAUAUCAAGAGGAACGCCGGUGGCGAAAGCGACUCUCUGGCCCGUUACUGACGCUGAGGCGCGAAAGCUAGGGGAGCAAACGGGAUUAGAUACC
RNAcentral lists this ribosomal RNA (263 nucleotides) under uncultured bacterium. Its description in RNAcentral is "partial 16S ribosomal RNA". It matches the Rfam family "Bacterial small subunit ribosomal RNA", at positions 524 to 786 of the family's 1533-position model. The record is from RNAcentral.